Molecule: ribosomal RNA, 655 nt
Filed under: uncultured bacterium
Lineage: Bacteria
Description: bacterial SSU rRNA
Rfam family: Bacterial small subunit ribosomal RNA
Source: RNAcentral
AGAGUUUGAUCCUGGCUCAGAUUGAACGCUGGCGGCAUGCCUUACACAUGCAAGUCGAACGGCAGCACGGGGGCAACCCUGGUGGCGAGUGGCGAACGGGUGAGUAAUGCAUCGGAACGUGCCCAGUAGUGGGGGAUAACUAGUCGAAAGAUUAGCUAAUACCGCAUACGACCUAUGGGUGAAAGCGGGGGAUUCGCAAGAACCUCGCGCUAUCGGAGCGGCCGAUGUCUGAUUAAGCUAGUUGGCGGGGUAAAAAGCCCACCAAGGCUUCGAUCAGUAGCUGGUCUGAGAGGACGACCAGCCACACUGGGACUGAGACACGGCCCAGACUCCUACGGGAGGCAGCAGUGGGGAAUUUUGGACAAUGGGCGCAAGCCUGAUCCAGCCAUGCCGCGUGCGGGAAGAGGCCUUCGGGUUGUAAACCGCUUUUGGCAGGACGANACGGCGCGAGCGAAUNUCUCGCGUUAAUGACGGUCCUGCAGAUNGGCCCCGGCUAGCUCGUGCCGCGCCGCGGUAAUACCGUANGGUGCNGCGUAUCGGAUUUCUGGGCGUNGCGUACGCNGCGCUUGCAGACGGUGUGNUCCCGGCUANCUGGGACUGCUUGUGCUGCUGCUGAGUUGUNGAGGGGGUGGAUCCCUGUGCNUGGNUCUUNAUU